GAUGAACGCUGGCGGCGUGCCUAAUACAUGCAAGUCGAGCGAACGGACGAGAAGCUUGCUUCUCUGAUGUUAGCGGCGGACGGGUGAGUAACACGUGGAUAACCUACCUAUAAGACUGGGAUAACUUCGGGAAACCGGAGCUAAUACCGGAUGAUAUUUUGAACCGCAUGGUUCAAAAGUGAAAGACGGUCUUGCUGUCACUUAUAGAUGGAUCCGCGCUGCAUUAGCUAGUUGGUAAGGUAACGGCUUACCAAGGCAACGAUGCAUAGCCGACGUGAGAGGGUGAUCGGCAACACUGGAACUGAGACACGGUCCAGACGCCUACGGGAGGCAGCAGUAGGGAAUCUUCCGCAAUGGGCGAAAGCCUGACGGAGCAACGCCGCGUGAGUGAUGAAGGUCUUCGGAUCGUAAAACUCUGUUAUUAGGGAAGAACAUAUGUGUAAGUAACUGUGCACAUCUUGACGGUACCUAAUCAGAAAGCCACGGCUAACUACGUG
This 497-nucleotide ribosomal RNA is filed under the name uncultured bacterium. RNAcentral describes it as "partial 16S ribosomal RNA". It matches the Rfam family "Bacterial small subunit ribosomal RNA", at positions 28 to 507 of the family's 1533-position model. The record is from RNAcentral.